UACGGAGGAUCCAAGCGUUAUCCGGAUUCAUUGGGUUUAAAGGGUGCGUAGGCGGAACGAUAAGUCAGUGGUGAAAGCCUGCAGCUUAACUGCAGAACUGCCAUUGAUACUGUCGAUCUUGAGUACAUUUGACGAGGGCGGAAUGUGUCAUGUAGCGGUGAAAUGCUUAGAUAUGACACAGAACACCGAUUGCGAAGGCAGCUCACUAAACUGUAACUGACGCUGAGGCACGAAAGCGUGGGGAGCAAACAGG
Molecule: ribosomal RNA, 253 nt
Filed under: uncultured bacterium
Lineage: Bacteria
Description: partial 16S ribosomal RNA
Rfam family: Bacterial small subunit ribosomal RNA
Source: RNAcentral